UACGGAGGAGGCAAGCGUUAUCCGGAAUUAUUGGGCGUAAAGCGUCCGCAGGUGGCAUCUCAAGUCUGCUGUCAAAAACCGGGGCUUAACCCCAGAAAGGCAGUGGAAACUGAAGUGCUAGAGUGCAGUAGGGGUAGAGGGAAUUCCCGGUGUAGCGGUGAAAUGCGUAGAGAUCGGGAAGAACAUCGGUGGCGAAAGCGCUCUGCUGGACUGCAACUGACACUCAGGGACGAAAGCUAGGGGAGCGAAUGGG
Molecule: ribosomal RNA, 253 nt
Filed under: uncultured bacterium
Lineage: Bacteria
Description: partial 16S ribosomal RNA
Rfam family: Bacterial small subunit ribosomal RNA
Source: RNAcentral